This is a non-coding RNA of Labrus bergylta (ballan wrasse), 1082 nucleotides long. The record is from RefSeq and is a predicted model, not a curated record. Lineage: Eukaryota; Metazoa; Chordata; Actinopteri; Labriformes; Labridae.
UUUUUUUUCCUCCAGUUUAACAGACAUGAACCCUCUUUUGUGUUUUCCUGCAGGAAGCAGCCAUGGCCAAACUCGCCGCGUCAGAAGCCGCCACAUUCUGCUCUCAUCAGGCGAUCCAGGUUCUGGGUGGGAUGGGCUACGUGUCAGACAUGCCCGCUGAGAGGCACUACCGCGACGCUCGCAUCACAGAGAUCUACGAGGGCACGAGUGAGAUCCAGAGGCUGGUGAUCGCCGGCCAGAUCCUGAAGGAAUACCAAGCAUAGACGCCGCACGCCACAAUAUGGACGAGUAAUAAUCACGCACACUGGGACAUCACCUCAUUCAUUCAGAUUUAAAAGGAGCCGCGUUGAUCGGGUGAGACCUCAUCUGAGUUUCACGUGAUUGUGCGUGCCCGUUACCUCCGCCGUCUCGUGUGUCGUUGGACUACAGGAGACGCCACGUAAUGUUUGGAAAAGAGCGCCGGUGACUUCAACAGCGCCUUCCUGAAAAGUUGAAUGAUUUUCAAUUUGACGGAUGGAGCGGGUGGAGCGCUCAGAAAAAAGACGCUGUCGUUUGAUUUUUCUCAAGGCGGCCGCUUUCUCCGGAGAACGAUCUCAGACGCUGGCGCUCAGAAAAAAAAAAAAACACCAGGUGGACACGGGGCCUUCGAUGUCAUUUUAUAACACAUCUCUGCAAAGAACUUUAAAAAGCAACUCAUAAAAACGUCUCCUGUCGACCUUAUUUUACUGACUGACAUGUUGAGUAAUUUCAUGUGAAUGUGAAGAGCUGCAGAUUAAAGCGUCACUUUCCCGUUGUGGUUAUAUCCAUAACUUUAGAGCGCUCGCCUUUUAAAUAAAACACAUAGAAAUGUUGUGGUUUGUAAAAGACGAAACAGAAGCUGUGUGGUUGACCUUAAAGGAAGAAUGUGCAACUUUUUUUGAUCCAGUAGAUGUCGCCCAUGAGCUCCAGAAUUAAACCAAAACAAACUGCUGUUAGGCCACGCCUCCUCCAGAGACACACCUCCAACCCCCCCGUCCCCUCACGCUCACAGGAAGGAGUUGUUGAUUAAGAACGCACCAUAAUUAAAAUGGUCCUUAUCUCGA